CACGUAGUUAGCCGGAGCUUCCUCCUAAGGUACCGUCAUUAUCGUCCCUUAAGACAGAGGUUUACAAUCCGAAAACCUUCUUCCCUCACGCGGCAUCGCUGCAUCAGAGUUUCCUCCAUUGUGCAAUAUUCCCCACUGCUGCUUCCCGUAGGAGUCUGGGCCGUGUCUCAGUCCCAAUGUGGCCGUUCUACCUCUCAGUACGGCUACUGAUCGUCGCCUUGGUGAGCCGUUACCUCACCAACAAGCUAAUCAGACGCGAGCCCAUCUUUAAGCGAUAAAUCUUUGAUACACAAACCAUGCGGUUCGUGUAUGUUAUGCGGUAUUAGCGGUCGUUUCCGACCGUUAUCCCACUCUUAAAGGCAGGUUGCUCACGUGUUACUCACCCGUCCGCCACUAACUUAAGAGAGCAAGCCCUCUCAAGUCCGUUCGACUUGCAUGUGUUAAGCGUGCCGCCAGCGUUCGUCCUGAGCCAGGAUCAAACUCU
RNAcentral lists this ribosomal RNA (484 nucleotides) under uncultured Oscillospiraceae bacterium. RNAcentral's name for it is "partial 16S ribosomal RNA". The record is from RNAcentral. Lineage: Bacteria; Bacillati; Bacillota; Clostridia; Eubacteriales; Oscillospiraceae.